This 599-nucleotide ribosomal RNA is filed under the name uncultured bacterium. RNAcentral describes it as "bacterial SSU rRNA". It matches the Rfam family "Bacterial small subunit ribosomal RNA", at positions 57 to 653 of the family's 1533-position model. The record is from RNAcentral.
GCAAGUCGGACGGUAACAUAGGAGCUUGCUCCUGAUGACGAGUGGCGGACGGGCGAGUAACGCGUAGGAAUCUGCCUAUAAGUGGGGGACAACCAUUGGAAACGAUGGCUAAUACCGCAUGUUGUCUUCGGACAAAAAGUGGCUUUCGGGCUGCUGCUUAUAGAUGAGCCUGCGUUAGAUUAGCUAGAUGGUAGGGUAAAGGCCUACCAUGGCGACGAUCUAUAGCUGUUCUGAGAGGAAGAUCAGCCGCACUGGAACUGAGACACGGCCCAGACUCCUACGGGAGGCAGCAGUGGGGAAUAUUGGACAAUGGGCGAAAGCCUGAUCCAGCAAUACCACGUGUGUGAAGAAGGCCUUAGGGUUGUAAAGCACUUUCAGUGAGGAGGAAGGCUGCUAGGUUAAGAGCUAAGUAGUUUGACGUUACUCACAGAAGAAGCACCGGCUAACUCCGUGCCAGCAGCCGCGGUAAUACGGAGGGUGCGAGCGUUAAUCGGAAUUACUGGGCGUAAAGGGUUCGUAGGCGGUUAGAUAAGUCAGAUGUGAAAGCCCUGGGCUCAACCUAGGAACUGCAUUUGAAACUAUUUGACUAGAGUAUAGUA